RNAcentral lists this ribosomal RNA (253 nucleotides) under uncultured bacterium. RNAcentral's name for it is "partial 16S ribosomal RNA". It matches the Rfam family "Bacterial small subunit ribosomal RNA", at positions 524 to 776 of the family's 1533-position model. The record is from RNAcentral.
UACGAAGGGGGCUAGCGUUGCUCGGAAUUACUGGGCGUAAAGCGCACGUAGGCGGCUCUUUAAGUCGGGGGUGAAAUCCUGGAGCUCAACUCCAGAACUGCCUUCGAUACUGUAGAGCUUGAGUUCGGGAGAGGUGAGUGGAACUGCGAGUGUAGAGGUGAAAUUCGUAGAUAUUCGCAAGAACACCAGUGGCGAAGGCGGCUCACUGGCCCGACACUGACGCUGAGGUGCGAAAGCGUGGGGAGCAAACAGG